CCAGCUCCUUUGAUUUUCUUCCUAGCACUUAACAUCCUCUGACAUACUUUAUAUUUAUUUGUUUAUUGCUUCUCCUCCCUCCCCAACUAGAAUGUUCCAUGAGGGCGGGGUGUGUUAUCUUGGUCUCUGUUGAGUCCCCAGUGCCCAGAAUGACUCCUGGACAAAGGCACAUGGAUAUGGAGUGAACGAGAGUUUGUAGGCAGAGAGCGCCGCGGGCUCCCUCCUUAGUCAUCACCACCCUUCAAGUAGUAACAGGAGCCCCACCCGAGCAUUUGGGUAGAGUGGUUGCAGGAUGGCUGUCUUCACAUCUGAUCAUUUUCAUGCAGUGUUCUUUGGAAAUGGGCUUACAGACCAGUCACCAGAAAAAUGCCUCCCAGAGAAUGCACGGGUUCACCUUCUCCCGCUAGACUUCCCCAACCAGCACAAUAAACAAAGCGGCAUAAAUAAACCAGCCUCCUUCGCGAAGUACCUUGUGAGUGGUCACUUCCCCCAGGCAAGCGGGCUGGUGACUGUCUGCAAGGUUAGUUGCAUUCGCACUAAACUCUUGGGCAAAGCUAGCGUGUCAUCACAAUUGUUUUCUUUUAACUCAUUGCUAAGGUCCUCUGAGAAUGGUGCUCAGUGGGGAAGGGGCGAGAUGGCUGCCUUUUCUGGAGCAGAGAUGAAAUCAUCUCUUCUGCCCUGCAUGCUUGGACAUUUAAUGCUGACCAGGCCUCCAGGCUUCUCAGACCUGGACGGGGAAGCUGGACUUUCUCCAGCCCAGUGCCG
Molecule: long non-coding RNA, 765 nt
Filed under: Homo sapiens (human)
Lineage: Eukaryota; Metazoa; Chordata; Mammalia; Primates; Hominidae
Description: HSALNT0370559
Source: RNAcentral